UUGUAUUGGUGUUGUCAAAGGAAGGUGUUGGUGUAGUCAGUGUUGUAUUGGUGUUGUCAAGGAAGGUGUUGGUGUAGUCAGUGUUGUAUUGGUGUUGUAAAGGAAGGUGUAGGUGUGCUCAGUGUUGUAUUGGUGU
Molecule: long non-coding RNA, 136 nt
Organism: Haliotis rubra (blacklip abalone)
Lineage: Eukaryota; Metazoa; Mollusca; Gastropoda; Lepetellida; Haliotidae
Exons: 2
Source: RefSeq, a predicted model, not a curated record